RNAcentral lists this long non-coding RNA (1048 nucleotides) under Mus pahari (shrew mouse). Its description in RNAcentral is "Fas associated via death domain, opposite strand (MGP_PahariEiJ_G0002231.1)". The record is from RNAcentral. Lineage: Eukaryota; Metazoa; Chordata; Mammalia; Rodentia; Muridae.
GAAAACCACAGUAGGUCCCUCCAGCAGUCAAACUUAGAGGCAGAAAGACAAGAUGGGGCAGCAGUGGUUACACAACAUCUUUCCUGAAGAGACAUGAGUAGAUGUAGGUUCCCCAGAGAGGCGCCUUCAGACGAAAGGAACAUUCCACCCAAGUCCAGUGUGGUCAGCCACCAGAUUCAGCCUGCAGGCCCGCAGCGCCUUGACCAGUCCAGCCACUGAGGCGUUCUUCUUCUCGGCAUUCUUCCAGACUUUCAGGCUCUCCCUUACCUGCUCGCUCAGACUUCGGGGGUACUUCUCCUCAAUCCCAUCAAUCUUGGCCUCAGACAACUUCAGCUGGCGGGCCAGUCUUUUCCAGUCUCUCCCCACAUUGUCACACACAAUGUCAAAUGCCACCUGCAGAUCUAGGAGGGAAAAGAACAGCGUGACUUGACUGAGGAGCUGGGGCAAGUCUCCCCACGGGCUACCAAGCACGGGCCUGAGCACUUCGAAGGCAACAUCACCAACGCCAGUCAGGUCCUGUGCAGACACCAAGUAGCACGGGAGCUACUUCAAGAGACCCACAGUGGCCUCUUGAUCUGCCCAGCCACACUCCCUCAGCCUGGGCCACAGCGAGCUAUGGCUUAGAAGACUGCCAACUGGAAAGGACUGGAGCGUCAGAGGGAAAAAGCCAGGUUGCCCUAACACCCCGCUCAAUAGUGGGUUGGCCAAAGUCCCCAAAGCUACAUCCUACAUUGUGACCUUUGCUGGUUUGAUCAGACACUACGAAAGGUCUGUCACUGCCCUACUCUGGAGCCCCUGCUGGACACAGGCAAGGUGUAAUCUCUGUAGGGAACUCUGGGCAGUGGCUGGAGACCCCUUAUUUGAUUCCUGUAACAGUAACAAACAUUGGAAUGUCUUGUAGAUGUGAAUACACAGCCUAUUUUCGUGUGGAUCUUGCACACACCGGCUUUACUCCACAGGCCCUCCACCUGCUUUGACUUCCUGCAUCACUGCAGACAAAGAGCAGCGGAGACAACCAACCAGGAACUAAAUAAAUCUUUGCCCCUUU